UUCGGUUGAUCCUGCCGGAGGCCAUUGCUAUCGGAGUCCGAUUUAACCAUGCUAGUCGCACGAGUUUAGGCUCGUGGCAUAUAGCUCAGUAACACGUGGCCAAACUACCCUACAGACCGCGAUAACCUCGGGAAACUGAGGCCAAUAGCGGAUAUCACUCUCAGACUGGAGUGUCGAGAGUGAGAAACGUUCCGGCGCUGUAGGAUGUGGCUGCGGCCGAUUAGGUAGAUGGUGGGGUAACGGCCCACCAUGCCGAUAAUCGGUACAGGUUGUGAGAGCAAGAGCCUGGAGACGGUAUCUGAGACAAGAUACCGGGCCCUACGGGGCGCAGCAGGCGCGAAACCUUUACACUGCACGACAGUGCGAUAGGGGGACUCCGAGUGUGAGGGCAUAUAGCCCUCGCUUUUCUGUACCGUAAGGUGGUACAAGAAUAAGGACUGGGCAAGACCGGUGCCAGCCGCCGCGGUAAUACCGGCAGUCCGAGUGAUGGCCGAUAUUAUUGGGCCUAAAGCGUCCGUAGCCUGCUGUGUAAGUCCAUUGGGAAAUCGACCAGCUCAACUGGUCGGCGUCCGGUGGAAACUACACAGCUUGGGGCCGAGAGACUCAACGGGUACGUCCGGGGUAGGAGUGAAAUCCUGUAAUCCUGGACGGACCACCAAUGGGGAAACCACGUUGAGAGACCGGACCCGACGGUGAGGGACGAAAGCCAGGGUCUCGAACCGGAUUAGAUACCCGGGUAGUCCUGGCUGUAAACAAUGCUCGCUAGGUAUGUCACGCGCCAUG
Molecule: ribosomal RNA, 783 nt
Filed under: uncultured archaeon
Lineage: Archaea
Description: bacterial SSU rRNA
Rfam family: Archaeal small subunit ribosomal RNA
Source: RNAcentral